Dioscorea cayenensis subsp. rotundata (Guinea yam) is the source of this 463-nucleotide long non-coding RNA. RefSeq lists it as uncharacterized. The transcript has 4 exons. NCBI's taxonomy places the organism in Eukaryota, Viridiplantae, Streptophyta, Magnoliopsida, Dioscoreales, Dioscoreaceae. The record is from RefSeq and is a predicted model, not a curated record.
UCCUGUGCUUCAACGAGCUCCAACCUCCAACCUCCAAACUCUGACUUCUGAGCUUCGAGCUCCGACUUCCGGCACUCCUCACUGCAAAGAUCUGGAUCUCCAUUGCUAUUAAAGUUUUCAAAAUCCUAGCCGUCUCUUCGUCUACUGCUGUUUAGAUCUCCAUUUAAAAAAAGGGGAGAGACUUAGCCUCAAUUUUUUUUAUCUUCUUGGUUGUGUGUGGUGUUGGCGGCGAGGACAGAGAAAGGCCUCAUCGUCAAGGGUUUGGUCUCACUUUUAUUGUCAAGGGUAUUUUGUGGAAGCUUAAUUUUGGGGUGCAUUUAGUUUUUGGCGUUAGACAGAUCAAGAGUAGGGUUGAGUGGUGGAAAGCUUAGCAGGAACAUUGAGUAAGUUGCUGUCUAGUUGUUAGCAAGUUAAUAAAUGCCCAUUCCUAUGGACUUAAAUCUUCUUGUUGUUUUUGUUUAAC